CGCGUUAGUUAGCAAUUAUACAGCGAAACUGCGAAUGGCUCAUUAUAUAAGUUAUCGUUUAUUUGAUAGUACCUUACUACUUGGAUAACCGUGGUAAUUCUAGAGCUAAUACAUGCUAAAAAUCCCGACUUACGAAGGGAUGUAUUUAUUAGAUUAAAAACCAAUGCCCUUCGGGGCUCACUGGUGAUUCAUAAUAACUUCUCGAAUCGCAUGGCCUUGCGCCGGCGAUGGUUCAUUCAAAUUUCUUCCCUAUCAACUUUCGAUGCUAGAGUAGUGUUCUAGCAUGGUUACAACGGGUAACGGAGGGUUAGGGCUCGACCCCGGAGAAGGAGCCUGAGAAACGGCUACUACAUCCAAGGAAGGCAGCAGGCGCGCAAAUUACCCAAUCCCGACACGGGGAGGUAGUGACGAUAAAUACUGAUACAGGGCUCUUUUGGGUCUUGUAAUUGGAAUGAGUACAAUUUAAAUCCCUUAACGAGGAACAAUUGGAGGGCAAGUCUGGUGCCAGCAGCCGCGGUAAUUCCAGCUCCAAUAGCGUAUAUUAAAGUUGUUGUGGUUAAAAAGCUCGUAGUAGAACCUUGGGCCUGGCUGGCCGGUCCGCCUCACCGCGUGCACUGGUCCGGCCGGGCCUUUCCCCCUGUGGAACCUCAUGCCCUUCACUGGGUGUGUGGGAAAACAGGACUUUUACUUUGAAAAAAUUAGAGUGCUCCAGGCAGGCCUAUGCUCGAAUACAUUAGCAUGGAAUAAUAGAAUAGGACGUGUGGUUCUAUUUUGUUGGUUUCUAGGACCGCCGUAAUGAUUAAUAGGGACAGUCGGGGGCAUCAGUAUUCAAUUGUCAGAGGUGAAAUUCUUGGAUUUAUUGAAGACUAACUACUGCGAAAGCAUUUGCCAAGGAUGUUUUCUUUAUCAGGAACGAAAGUUAGGGGAUCGAAACGAUCAAAUACCGUCGUAGUCUUACCCUAACUAUGCCGAUAGGGAUCGGACGAUGUUUUUUUUGAUCCUUCGGACCUU
This 1011-nucleotide ribosomal RNA is filed under the name Colletotrichum gloeosporioides. RNAcentral describes it as "SSU rRNA". It matches the Rfam family "Eukaryotic small subunit ribosomal RNA", at positions 56 to 1088 of the family's 1831-position model. Lineage: Eukaryota; Fungi; Ascomycota; Sordariomycetes; Glomerellales; Glomerellaceae. The record is from RNAcentral.